Molecule: non-coding RNA, 95 nt
Organism: Novymonas esmeraldas
Lineage: Eukaryota; Euglenozoa; Kinetoplastea; Trypanosomatida; Trypanosomatidae
Source: the annotation of a GenBank genome assembly
CUGAACAAAAGCACCAUAUCCCGUCCGAUUUGUGAAGUUAACCACUUACAGGCCCAGUUAGUACUGAGGUCAGUGAUGACUCGGGAACCCUGAGU